UGGCGGACGGGUGAGUAAUGUCUGGGAAACUGCCUGAUGGAGGGGGAUAACUACUGGAAACGGUAGCUAAUACCGCAUAACGUCGCAAGACCAAAGGGGGGACCUUCGGGCCUCUUGCCAUCGGAUGUGCCCAGAUGGGAUUAGCUAGUAGGUGGGGUAAAGGCUCACCUAGGCGACGAUCCCUAGCUGGUCUGAGAGGAUGACCAGCCACACUGGAACUGAGACACGGUCCAG
RNAcentral lists this ribosomal RNA (234 nucleotides) under uncultured bacterium. Its description in RNAcentral is "partial 16S ribosomal RNA". It matches the Rfam family "Bacterial small subunit ribosomal RNA", at positions 96 to 334 of the family's 1533-position model. The record is from RNAcentral.